Molecule: ribosomal RNA, 253 nt
Filed under: uncultured bacterium
Lineage: Bacteria
Description: partial 16S ribosomal RNA
Rfam family: Bacterial small subunit ribosomal RNA
Source: RNAcentral
UACGGAGGGGGCGAGCGUUAUUCGGAAUUAUUGGGCGUAAAGGGCGCGUAGGCGGCUUGACAAGUCAAAGGUGAAAUCCCUCGGCUCAACUGAGGAACUGCCUUUGAAACUGUCUGGCUUGAGGCCGGGAGGGGGUAGCGGAAUUCCCAGUGUAGCGGUGAAAUGCGUAGAGAUGUGGAGGAACACCAGUGGCGAAGGCGACUCUUUGGCCUGUAACUGACGCUGAGGCGCGAAAGCGUGGGGAGCAAACAGG